AUACGGAGGAUCCGAGCGUUAUCCGGAUUUAUUGGGUUUAAAGGGUGCGCAGGCGGCCAUUUAAGUCAGCGGUUAAAUCGUGGGGCUCAACCCCAUUCUGCCGUUGAUACUGGGUGGCUUGAUUGCGGUCGAGGUUGGCGGAAUUCGUUGUGUAGGGGUAAAAUGCAUAGAUAUGACGAAGAACACCGAUUGCGUAGGCAGCUGACCAGGCCGCAAAUGACGCUCAUGCACGAAAGUGCGGGGAUCGAACAGGAUUAGAUACCCUGGUAGUCCGCACAGUAAACGAUGAAUACUUGUUUUCGGCGAUAUAAUGUCGGAGGCAAAGCGAAAGCGAUAAGUAUUCCACCUGGGGAGUACGCCGGCAACGGUGAAACUCAAAGGAAUUGACGGGG
This 392-nucleotide ribosomal RNA is filed under the name uncultured bacterium. Its description in RNAcentral is "partial 16S ribosomal RNA". It matches the Rfam family "Bacterial small subunit ribosomal RNA", at positions 523 to 918 of the family's 1533-position model. The record is from RNAcentral.